GACGAACGCUGGCGGCGUGCUUAACACAUGCAAGUCGAACGGAAAGGCCUGCUUUCCCUUGUGGAUUGCGGGUACUCGCGUGGCGAACGGGUGAGUAACACGUGAGUGAUCUGCCCCCAACUUGGGUAUAAGCCUGGGAAACUGGGUCUAAUUCCCGAUAGGACUGCAGGGUGGUGCCUGUGGUGGAAAACGAUUUUCUAGUGGUUGGGGAUGAGCUCGCGGCCUAUCAGCUUGUUGGUGGGGUAAUGGCCUACCAAGGCGGGGACGGGUAGCCGGCCUGAGAGGGUGGACGGGCACAUUGGGACUGAGAUACGGCCCAGACGCCUACGGGAGGCAGCAGUGGGGAAGAGUGCACAAUGGGCGGAAGCCUGAGGCAGCGACGCCGCGUGGGGGAUGACGGGCUUCGGGUGGUAAACUCCUUUCGACCGCGAGGAAGCCACCUGGUUGGAAGGGUGGUGACGGUAGUGGUAGAAGAAGCACCGGCUAACUACGUG
Molecule: ribosomal RNA, 494 nt
Filed under: uncultured bacterium
Lineage: Bacteria
Description: partial 16S ribosomal RNA
Rfam family: Bacterial small subunit ribosomal RNA
Source: RNAcentral